AUACGUAGGGGGCUAGCGUUAUCCGGAAUUACUGGGCGUAAAGGGUGCGUAGGUGGUUUCUUAAGUCAGAAGUGAAAGGCCACGGCUCAACCGUAGUAAGCUUUUGAAACUAAGAGACUUGAGUGCAGGAGAGGAGAGUAGAAUUCCUAGUGUAGCGGUGAAAUGCGUAGAUAUUAGGAGGAAUACCAGUUGCGAAGGCGGCUCUGUGGACUGUAACUGUCACUGAGGCACACAAGCGUGGGGAGAAAACAGGAUUAGAUGCCCUGGUUGUCCACGCCGUAAACGAUGAGUACUAGCUGUCGGGGGUUACCCCCCUCGGUGGCGCAGCUAACGCAUUAAGUACUCCGCCUGGGAAGUACGCUCGCAAGAGUGAAACUCAAAGGAAUUGACGGGG
RNAcentral lists this ribosomal RNA (394 nucleotides) under uncultured bacterium. RNAcentral describes it as "partial 16S ribosomal RNA". It matches the Rfam family "Bacterial small subunit ribosomal RNA", at positions 523 to 918 of the family's 1533-position model. The record is from RNAcentral.